RNAcentral lists this ribosomal RNA (353 nucleotides) under uncultured eukaryote. RNAcentral describes it as "LSU rRNA". It matches the Rfam family "Bacterial large subunit ribosomal RNA", at positions 2127 to 2479 of the family's 2925-position model. The record is from RNAcentral.
GCUUAUUUUGCGCAGCUUAGGCGGGAGGCUAUGAACCUUUUCUUCUGGGAAGAGGGGAGCCAUCAGUGAGAUACCACUCUUGGUAAGCUAGAGCGCUCAGUCUUCACCGUCAUCCGGUAAGACGACAGUUUCAGGCGGGCAGUUUGACUGGGGCAGUCACCUCCCAAAAGGUAACGGAGGUGUGCAAAGGUUCCCUCAGGCUGGACGGAAAUCAGCCACAGAGUGUAAAAGCAUAAGGGAGCUUGACUGCGAGACUGACAUGUCAAGCAGAGACGAAAGUCGGCCUUAGUGAUCCGACGGUGCUGUGUGGAAAGGCCGUCGCUCAACGGAUAAAAGUUACUCUAGGGAUAACA